AUUGAACGCUGGCGGCAGGCCUAACACAUGCAAGUCGAGCGGAUGAAGGGAGCUUUCUCCUGGAUUCAGCGGCGGACGGGUGAGUAAUGCCUAGGAAUCUGCCUGGUAGUGGGGGAUAACGUCCGGAAACGGGCGCUAAUACCGCAUACGUCCUGAGGGAGAAAGUGGGGGAUCUUCGGACCUCACGCUAUCAGAUGAGCCUAGGUCGGAUUAGCUAGUUGGUGGGGUAAAGGCCUACCAAGGCGACGAUCCGUAACUGGUCUGAGAGGAUGAUCAGUCACACUGGAACUGAGACACGGUCCAGAAUCCUACGGGAGGCAGCAGUGGGGAAUAUUGGACAAUGGGCGAAAGCCUGAUCCAGCCAUGCCGCGUGUGUGAAGAAGGUCUUCGGAUUGUAAAGAACUUUAAGUUGGGAGGAAGGGCAGUAAGUUAAUACCUUGCUGUUUUGACGUUACCAACAGAAUAAGCACCGGCUAACUUCGUG
RNAcentral lists this ribosomal RNA (484 nucleotides) under uncultured bacterium. RNAcentral's name for it is "partial 16S ribosomal RNA". It matches the Rfam family "Bacterial small subunit ribosomal RNA", at positions 30 to 507 of the family's 1533-position model. The record is from RNAcentral.